AGGGUUCCGGCACGGCGGCGGUGCCGUGCUCCGGGGCCGGCUCAGCCGCUACAGCUUCAUCUCCUCUCGGUCUGAUCGAUUUUGGCCAGUUUCGAUUGAUUUCAUGCGAAAACCUACAAAAGACGAGGUUAGGUGGCCUCUAUUGGUCGAAAAAAGGGAAAAAUUGUGACUUACUAGUGGAUAAUGUUAGGACCCCGAAUUAGAAGGGAAAUAAAUUCAUAAAUUUAAUGCGAAAGUGAUUAAUAGAGUUAGAGUUUACAUUCCUUACACAAUAAUUUAGAAUGUUU
RNAcentral lists this long non-coding RNA (287 nucleotides) under Carica papaya (papaya). Its description in RNAcentral is "long non-coding RNA (CPAP_LNC001675)". The record is from RNAcentral. Lineage: Eukaryota; Viridiplantae; Streptophyta; Magnoliopsida; Brassicales; Caricaceae.